ACAGCCUCUGGGUUCUUAGCUGUCUAAUGUGCUGUUAAGUGCCUUCUCAAGCAUGGAUAAUAGAUAUUAGGAAUAGAAAAGGAAAGCAACCUUUUCAAUUAAGGACAAAAUGUACAGAAAGUAAAAUGACAUGAGCUGCAUAUUGGCUCUUAUUCGCACAGUCUCCAGAUACAAUCAGUAGGUGCUCAACCAGAUAAUUACAGCCUUCCUGCAAAAGGCUUCAUGUAGGAGAGUCACCUGCCUGCCUGCUACCACUUGCAGGAUCAGAGCUACUUUAUUUUCAGUGUUGCAGAUUGUGGAAUUAGUGUUUUCCAACUUCUGUUUAAAAAAGAAGCAUUUUUCUAGCACGUCUCCUUCCAGCGGGCUGCUGCACCAGGUCCAGCUGCCCAGCGCCAGAUCCAGAAUGGUCCAUCUCCAGAUGAGAUGGAAGCACAGAGAAGACAAGUGAUGGAGCAACAGCAACAGCGCCAGGAAUCUCUGGAAAGAAGAACCUCUACCACAGGCCCGGCACUUCCACCUGGCCACCCCAGCGCUGCUGUGCUCCCCGUUUCAUCGGGGGGGGGGGGGGGGGGGGGGGGGGGGGGGGGGGGGGGGGGGGGGGGGGGGGGGGGGGGGGGGGGGGGGGGGGGGGGGGGGG
RNAcentral lists this long non-coding RNA (637 nucleotides) under Ficedula albicollis (Collared flycatcher). RNAcentral describes it as "lncRNA (ENSFALG00000027647.1)". The record is from RNAcentral. Lineage: Eukaryota; Metazoa; Chordata; Aves; Passeriformes; Muscicapidae.